AUGGGGGCGCAGGUGCAGCUACGGUUGCUUCUUUUGGUAGCUACGGCGGUGGUUGCCAGCUGCGCCACCGGCGGCCUCGCCGCGACGUCGUCCCAGCUGGGCCGCCUGGAGGGCCUGCGCGUGGCCCUGACGCACGUCGACGCGCACGGCAACUACACCAAGCUGCAGCUGCUGCGGCGGGCGGCGAGGCGGAGCCGCCACCGCAUGUCCAGGCUCGUCGCGCGGACCACCGGCGUGCCGAUGAUGUCGAGAAAGGCCGUCGCGCCGGCCCUGCAGGUGCCGGUGCACGCCGGGAACGGUGAGUUUCUGAUGGACAUGUCCAUCGGAACGCCUGCCGUGGCCUACGCGGCCAUCAUUGACACCGGCAGCGACCUCGUGUGGACGCAGUGCAAGCCCUGCGUGGAGUGCUUCAACCAGAGCACGCCCGUGUUCGACCCCUCGUCGUCCUCCACCUACGCCGCGCUGCCGUGCUCCAGCUCCUUCUGCAGCGACCUGCCCAGCUCUAAGUGCGCCUCGGCCAAGUGCGGCUACACGUACACCUACGGCGACUCCUCGUCGACGCAGGGCGUGCUGGCCGCCGAGACCUUCACGCUGGCCAAGACGAAGCUCCCGGAGGUCGCCUUCGGCUGCGGCGACACGAACGAGGGCGACGGGUUCACGCAGGGCGCGGGGCUCGUGGGGCUCGGCCGGGGCCCCCUCUCGCUGGUCUCGCAGCUCGGCCUCAAGAAGUUCUCCUACUGCCUCACCUCCCUCGACGACACGAGCAAGAGCCCGCUCCUCCUCGGCUCUCUCGCCAGCAUCUCGGAGAGCGCGGCGGCCGCGUCGUCGGUGCAGACCACCCCUCUCAUCAAGAACCCGAGCCAGCCGUCCUUCUACUACGUGAACCUCAAGGGCCUGACGGUCGGCUCGACGCACAUCGCCCUGCCGAGCUCGGCGUUCGCCGUGCAGGGCGACGGCACGGGCGGGGUGAUCGUGGACUCCGGCACGUCGAUCACGUACCUGGAGCUGCAGGGGUACCGCGCGCUGAAGAAGGCGUUCGCGGCGCAGAUGAAGCUGCCGGCGGCGGACGGGUCGGGGAUCGGGCUGGACAUGUGCUUCGAGGCGCCGGCGAGCGGGGUGGACCAGGUGGAGGUGCCGAAGCUGGUGUUCCACUUCGACGGCGCGGACCUGGACCUGCCGGCGGAGAACUACAUGGUGCUGGACUCCGGGUCCGGCGCGCUGUGCGUGACGGUGAUGGGGUCGCGGGGCCUGUCCAUCAUCGGCAACUUCCAGCAGCAGAACAUCCAGUUCGUGUACGACGUGGGCGAGAACACCCUCUCCUUCGCGCCCGUGCAGUGCGCCAAAUUGUGA
Molecule: ribosomal RNA, 1350 nt
Filed under: Triticum aestivum (bread wheat)
Lineage: Eukaryota; Viridiplantae; Streptophyta; Magnoliopsida; Poales; Poaceae
Description: partial small subunit ribosomal RNA
Source: RNAcentral